Molecule: ribosomal RNA, 497 nt
Filed under: uncultured bacterium
Lineage: Bacteria
Description: partial 16S ribosomal RNA
Rfam family: Bacterial small subunit ribosomal RNA
Source: RNAcentral
GAUGAACGCUGGCGGCGUGCCUAAUACAUGCAAGUCGAGCGAACAGACGAGGAGCUUGCUCCUCUGACGUUAGCGGCGGACGGGUGAGUAACACGUGGAUAACCUACCUAUAAGACUGGGAUAACUUCGGGAAACCGGAGCUAAUACCGGAUAAUAUAUUGAACCGCAUGGUUCACUAGUUAAAGACGGUUUUGCUGUCACUUAUAGAUGGAUCCGCGCCGCAUUAGCUAGUUGGUAAGGUAACGGCUUACCAACGCAACGAUGCGUAGCCGACCUGAGAGGGUGAUCGGCCACACGGGAACUGAGACACGGUCCAGACUCCUACGGGAGGCAGCAGUAGGGAAUCUUCCGCAAUGGGCGAAAGCCUGACGGAGCAACGCCGCGUGAGUGAUGAAGGUCUUCGGAUCGUAAAACUCUGUUAUUAGGGAAGAACAAAUGUGUAAGUAACUAUGCACGUCUUGACGGUACCUAAUCAGAAAGCCACGGCUAACUACGUG